GAUGAACGCUGGCGGCGUGCCUAAUACAUGCAAGUCGAGCGAACGGACGAGAAGCUUGCUUCUCUGAUGUUAGCGGCGGACGGGUGAGUAACACGUGGAUAACCUACCUAUAAGACUGGGAUAACUUCGGGAAACCGGAGCUAAUACCGGAUAAUAUUUUGAACCGCAUGGUUCAAAAGUGAAAGACGGUCUUGCUGUCACUUAUAGAUGGAUCCGCGCUGCAUUAGCUAGUUGGUAAGGUAACGGCUUACCAAGGCAACGAUGCAUAGCCGACCUGAGAGGGUGAUCGGCCACACUGGAACUGAGACACGGUCCAGACUCCUACGGGAGGCAGCAGUAGGGAAUCUUCCGCAAUGGGCGAAAGCCUGACGGAGCAACGCCGCGUGAGUGAUGAAGGUCUUCGGAUCGUAAAACUCUGUUAUUAGGGAAGAACAUAUGUGUAAGUAACUGUGCACAUCUUGACGGUACCUAAUCAGAAAGCCACGGCUAACUACGUGCCAGCAGCCGCGGUAAUACGUANGUGGCAAGCGUUAUCCGGAAUUAUUGGGCGUAAAGCGCGCGUAGGCGGUUUUUUAAGUCUGAUGUGAAAGCCCACGGCUCAACCGUGGAGGGUCAUUGGAAACUGGAAAACUUGAGUGCAGAAGAGGAAAGUGGAAUUCCAUGCGUAGCGGUGAAAUGCGCAGAGAUAUGGAGGAACACCAGUGGCGAAGGCGACUUUCUGGUCUGUAACUGACGCUGAUGUGCGAAAGCGUGGGGAUCAAACAGGAUUAGAUACCCUGGUAGUCCACGCCGUAAACGAUGAGUGCUAAGUGUUAGGGGGUUUCCGCCCCUUAGUGCUGCAGCUAACGCAUUAAGCACUCCGCCUGGGGAGUACGACCGCAAGGUUGAAACUCAAAGGAAUUGACGGGGACCCGCACAAGCGGUGGAGCAUGUGGUUUAAUUCGAAGCAACGCGAAGAACCUUACCAAAUCUUGACAUCCUUUGACAACUCUAGAGAUAGAGCCUUCCCCUUCGGGGGACAAAGUGACAGGUGGUGCAUGGUUGUCGUCAGCUCGUGUCGUGAGAUGUUGGGUUAAGUCCCGCAACGAGCGCAACCCUUAAGCUUAGUUGCCAUCAUUAAGUUGGGCACUCUAAGUUGACUGCCGGUGACAAACCGGAGGAAGGUGGGGAUGACGUCAAAUCAUCAUGCCCCUUAUGAUUUGGGCUACACACGUGCUACAAUGGACAAUACAAAGGGCAGCGAAACCGCGAGGUCAAGCAAAUCCCAUAAAGUUGUUCUCAGUUCGGAUUGUAGUCUGCAACUCGACUACAUGAAGCUGGAAUCGCUAGUAAUCGUAGAUCAGCAUGCUACGGUGAAUACGUUCCCGGGUCU
Molecule: ribosomal RNA, 1372 nt
Filed under: uncultured bacterium
Lineage: Bacteria
Description: bacterial SSU rRNA
Rfam family: Bacterial small subunit ribosomal RNA
Source: RNAcentral